Non-coding RNA from Marasmius sp. AFHP31, 98 nucleotides. Lineage: Eukaryota; Fungi; Basidiomycota; Agaricomycetes; Agaricales; Marasmiaceae. The record is from the annotation of a GenBank genome assembly.
GCCGCAUUAGCACAAUGGUAGUGCGUUGCUUUCCUAACGACCGAAGCUUCAUAGGUCUAGCUAGGCAAAGGUUGCGGGUUCGAGUCCCGUGUGUGGUU